Molecule: long non-coding RNA, 357 nt
Filed under: Vigna radiata
Lineage: Eukaryota; Viridiplantae; Streptophyta; Magnoliopsida; Fabales; Fabaceae
Description: long non-coding RNA (VRAD_LNC006737)
Source: RNAcentral
UCCAAUAUAAGGUAAAUUUCCCACUACCAUCCCUGUUAAGGAAAAAUGGGUGACCUAAUUCAGUAAUUGACACUCUAAAGAAUUUAUUUUUGAAAUCUUUGUAAGAGUCGGCAUAUAGCCUUAGAAGGGUAUUCUUAGGUUCAGAUCUUAAUGAUACCCAACCCCUUUUUACGUUAGGAUGGGUCCUAAAGAAGUAUAGAAACAAAGGAGCAGUCGGUGUAAUAUCUAAGGAUUGAAACAUUACGCCGAACGCCUGAAUGUAACCCCAACCAUUGGGGUGAAGCUGCGUAGGAGCAACAUUAAGCGUUUUCAAAACAUCAAUUUGAAAAUCAGUAAACGGAAGCCUAAGAUACAUAU